Molecule: ribosomal RNA, 450 nt
Filed under: uncultured bacterium
Lineage: Bacteria
Description: partial 16S ribosomal RNA
Rfam family: Bacterial small subunit ribosomal RNA
Source: RNAcentral
GUGGGGAAUCUUCCGCAAUGGACGAAAGUCUGACGGAGCAACGCCGCGUGAGUGAAGAAGGUUUUCGGAUCGUAAAGCUCUUUCGUUAGGGACGAACGUGCUCUUUGUGAAUAAUGAGGAGUAAUGACGGUACCUAAAUAAGAAGCCACGGCUAACUACGUGCCAGCAGCCGCGGUAAUACGUAGGUGGCAAGCGUUGUCCGGAAUUAUUGGGCGGAAAGCGCGCGCAGGCGGGAUAUCAAGUCUGUCUUAAAAGUGCGAGGCUCAACCUCGUGAGGGGACAGAAACUGGUAUUCUUGAGUGUCGGAGAGGAAAGUGGAAUUCCAAGUGUAGCGGUGAAAUGCGUAGAGAUUUGGAAGAACACCAGUGGCGAAGGCGACUUUCUGGACGAUGUCUGACGCUGAGGCGCGAAAGCUAGGGGAGCGAACGGGAUUAGAUACCCCUGUAGUCC